AUACCCUAUUAUUUUGAGUGUUAAUUUUGCUUACCUGGGUACUAUUAGUUAAGAUCUUUAAACCCAAAGAAUUUGGCGGUACCUUAUUCCAUUCAGAGGAACCUACCCCAUAAUUGAUAAUACACGAUUGACUUUACUUAAUUUAUUUGUUUGUAUAUCUCCGUUAUCAGAAAAUCUUAUUGGAGUUAUAAUUUUCUUGAUUUAUAAUUAUAAAAUAUUUCAGGUCAAGGUGCAGCUUAUAAUUAAGAGGAGGUGGGUUACAAUAAAUUUUUGUUUAUUAUGGAUUUAAUGGUGAAAUACUAUUAAUGAAGGUGGAUUUGAUAGUAAUUUAAUUUAUUUAAUUUAAUUGAUAUUGGCUCUAAGGUGUGUACACAUCGCCCGUCGCUCUCA
This 390-nucleotide ribosomal RNA is filed under the name Dociostaurus jagoi jagoi. Its description in RNAcentral is "12S ribosomal RNA". It matches the Rfam family "Microsporidia small subunit ribosomal RNA", at positions 752 to 1207 of the family's 1311-position model. Lineage: Eukaryota; Metazoa; Arthropoda; Insecta; Orthoptera; Acrididae. The record is from RNAcentral.